RNAcentral lists this ribosomal RNA (578 nucleotides) under Glomus sp. RNAcentral describes it as "partial large subunit ribosomal RNA". It matches the Rfam family "Eukaryotic large subunit ribosomal RNA", at positions 140 to 640 of the family's 3401-position model. The record is from RNAcentral. Lineage: Eukaryota; Fungi; Glomeromycota; Glomeromycetes; Glomerales; Glomeraceae.
GAAUUGUAUUUUGAAGAAGCGUUUUCUGCGUCUCGGUUGACCCAAAUCCUUUGGGAUAAGGUAUCAUGGAGGGUGAGAAUCCCGUCCGGUUGACCUUAUGAUGCUCUACGAUACGCUUUCAAAGAGUCGAGUUGUUUGGGAUUGCAGCUCAAAAUGGGAGGUAAAUUUCUCCUAAGGCUAAAUAUCGGCGAGAGACCGAUAGCGAACAAGUACCGUGAGGGAAAGAUGAAAAGAACUUUGAAAAGAGAGUUAAAUAGUACGUGAAAUUGUUGAAAGGGAAACGAUUGAAGCCAGUCGUACCGACGAGAAAUCAGCUCUUCUUGUGCGAACUUGUGGGCGUGCGUGAGCUUUACGGCCUCGCCGUUUGCUACGUUUGUGCUCUUUGGGUGUACUUUUUCGUAUGGUAGGCCAAUGUCAGUUUCGAUUAUCAUAAAAUAAUUGGAGGAAUGUAGCUUCGACCUCGGUUGAAGUGUUAUAGCCUCUGGUAGAUGUGGUAAUUGGGACUGAGGAUUGCAACGAAUACCUUUUAGGCUAUCCGUCUGACCUCUGAAAGUCGCUUAGGUGCCGAAAGCUUGCUU